UAGUAAGUUAGUAAGGGCACAUGGUGGAUGCCUUGGCGCACGGAGCCGAUGAAGGACGCAGCAAGCCUGCGAUAGGCCACGGGGAGCUGCAAAACAAGCUGUGAUCCGUGGAUGUCCGAAUGGGGAAACCCGUGAGGGUAAAACCCUCACAUCCUUGCCUGAACACAUAGGGCAAGGAGGGGAACCAAGGGAACUGAAACAUCUUAGUACCUUGAGGAAAAGAAAUCAACAGAGAUUCCCUGAGUAGUGGCGAGCGAAAGGGGAACAGCCUAAACCGUUUGUGUGUAAAAGCUCACGGGCGUUGCACAAACGGGGUAGCGGGACAAGCCGUCUCUCCCCGUGAGGAGAGUAUGGAGUGAGAAAUAAACUGCUUAGCCGAAUGCUUUGGAAAGAGCAACCAAAGAGGGUGAUAGUCCCGUAGGCGAAAAGCAGUUUACUCCUAGGCUUGAUCCCAAGUACCGCGGGACACGAGGAACCCUGCGGGAAUCAGGGAGGACCACCUUCCAAGGCUAAAUACUCCGGCGACCGAUAGUGAACAUAGUACCGCGAGGGAAAGGUGAAAAGAACCCCGGGAGGGGAGUGAAAUAGAACCUGAAACCAUGUGCCUACAAUGGGUAGGAGGGCUAUGAAGCAGCAAUGCUUCAGCCUGACUGCGUGCCUAUUGAAGUAUGACCCAAGGAGUUGAUGGCAGUGGCAAGGCUAAGGGGUGAAACCCGGAGCCGUAGCGAAAGCGAGUCCGAAUAGGGCGUUAGUCGCUGUCAUCAGACUCGAAACCAGGUGGCCAACCCAUGGCCAGGGUGAAACGGGUGUAAGAGCCCGUGGAGGCCCGAACCGGUCGGGGGAAAAAACUCGUCGGAUGAGCUGUGGGUAGGAGAGAAAUUCUAACCGAACCUGGAGAUAGCUAGUUCUCGCCGAAAUGCAUUUAGGUGCAGCGGUAGGAAAUUAGCAUGCGGGGGUAGAGCUCUGGAUGGGCUAGGGGUCUUACCAGACUUCCGAACCCAACCAAACUGCGAAUACCGCAUUGCCGUAUCCUACCAGUGAGUCGGUGGGCUCUAAGGUCCAUCGUCGAGUAGGGGAACAACCCAGAUCGUCUGCUAAGGUCCCUAAAGUAGACUAAGUGCAUCAAAGGAUGUGGGACUGCUUAGACAGCUAGGAGGUUAGCUUAGAAGCAGCUAUCCUUUAAAGAGUGCGUAACAGCUCACUAGUCGAGCGGUCCUGCGCCGAAAAUGUUCGGGGCUAAGUCUACUACCGAAGCAGCGGGUUCAAGGUGUCUUCGGACAUCUUGAGCGGUAGGCGAGCGUUCCAGUUGCUGAGAAGGCAUACCGUGAGGAGUGCUGGAGCGACUGGAAGUGAGAAUCUUGGGUUGAGUAACGAAAAGCAGGGCGAGAAUCCCUGCCGCCGUAAGUCUAAGGUUUCCUGGGGAAGGUUCGUCCGCCCAGGGUUAGUCGGGCCUAAGCCGAGGCCGAAAGGCGUAGGUGAUGGACAACAGGUUAAUAUUCCUGUACCGCAUAUCUUCCGCUAUCAGGAAGGGGUGACGGAGGAGGAUAGGCCAAGCGCGGUUCUGGUCGUCCGCGUCCAAGCUGGUAGGAGGCAUCCGGAGGCAAAUCCCUGGAUGCGUUAACUCCGAGAAGCGAUGGGGAGCCGCAAGGCGAAGUGGCUGAUUCCACACUCACGAGAAAAACCUCUAACGAGGAAGAUGUGCGCCCGUACCGCAAUCCAACACAGGUAGACGGGGAGCACGCUCCCAAGGCGUUCGAAAGAAUCCUCUUCAAGGAACUCGGCAAGUUAGCCCCGUAACUUCGGGAGAAGGGGUGCCUGAGGAGGUGGUAGGAACAUUGCUUCCUACUGCGUCUUCGGGUCUCAGUAAACAGGCUCAGGCGACUGUUUAACAAAAACACAGGUCUCUGCUAAGUCGUAAAGACGACGUAUAGGGGCCGACGCUUGCCCGGUGCCGGAAGGUUAUAGGGAGGGGUUAGUGGGCGUAAGCCCGCGAAGCUCCGAACUUAAGCCCCGGUGAACGGCGGCCGUAACUAUAACGGUCCUAAGGUAGCGAAAUACCUUGUCGGGUAAGUUCCGACGCGCAUGAAAAGCGUAACGAUCUGAGCGCCGUCUCGAAGAGGAAUUCGGUGAAAUAACGGUGGUCGUGCAGACGCGGCCUACCCGUAGCAGGACGGAAAGACCCCGUGGAGCUUUACUGUACCCUGAUACUGAACUUCGGUAUACCAUGUAUAGGAUAUGUGGGAGGCUGAGAACCCAGGGCGCCAGCUCUGGGGGAGCCAACGGUGGAAUACCACACUUGGUAUGCUGAAGUUCUAACUCCUUGCCCUAAUCGGGCGGGAGGACAAUGUCAGGCGGGCAGUUUGACUGGGGCGGUCGCCUCCUAAAAGGUAACGGAGGUGCCCAAAGGUUCCCUCAGGCUGGUUGGAAAUCAGCCGUUGAGUGCAAAGGCAUAAGGGAGCUUGACUGCUUAGACCGACAGGUCGAACAGACACGAAAGUGGGGCUUAGUGAUCCGGCGGUGGUGUGUGGAAACGCCGUCGCUCAACGGAUAAAAGCUACCCCGGGGAUAACAGGCUGAUCUUUCCCGAGAGUUCACAUCGACGGGAAGGUUUGGCACCUCGAUGUCGGCUCAUCGCAUCCUGGGGCUGGAUAAGGUCCCAAGGGUCCGGCUGUUCGCCGGUUAAAGCGGUACGUGAGCUGGGUUCAGAACGUCGUGAGACAGUUCGGUCCUAAUCCGCUACGGGCGUAGGAGGUUUGAAGGGGGUUUCCCGGUAGUACGAGAGGACCCCGGGAAGGAGACCGCUGGUGGACCAGUUGUCCCGCCAGGGGCAGGAGCUGGGUAGCUAAGUCUCUAUUGGAUAAGCGCUGAAAGCAUCUAAAGCGCGAAGCCUACCCCAAGAUUAGACCUCCCAUCCUUGCGCAAGCAAGGAGUAAGACCCCUCGUAGACUACGAGGUUGAUAGGCCCGAGGUGUAAGCGCAGCAAUGCGUUAAGCUGACGGGUACUAAUAGGUCGAGGACUUACUAUA
Molecule: ribosomal RNA, 3026 nt
Organism: Caldisericum exile AZM16c01
Lineage: Bacteria; Pseudomonadati; Caldisericota; Caldisericia; Caldisericales; Caldisericaceae
Rfam family: Bacterial large subunit ribosomal RNA
Source: Rfam